AUGCAGCAUCACUGUCAUUUCUAAAGCUUCCAUCAGUCUGAAUGGAAACAGAGCACAGCAAGAGGAGGAGCUACACAACUCAAUAUGAAAGGCUUCAUUUCAGACCUGAGAGCUGCUGAGUUCUCUCUAUUGUUCAUUCAGUACAAGUGAAAAUAAUGCUGCUGCUUUUAGUUUGGAUCAUGAUCGUCUCCUUUCAUUCUGGAUCCUCUGAGGAUUUAGUGAAACCAUUUAAAGAUGAAGUGAUGGGUUCAGAAGGAGACACUGUGACUCUCUCCUGCAACUAUUCAGGCUCUGUAGAAAGACUCUACUGGUAUCAACAGAAGUCCAGUUCAUCUCCACAGUUUCUCAUCGCAGAUUAUUCAGAGAACACACCAGGACUAUCUUUACAACAUGACAAGAAAACUAGAGAGUUUCAUCUGAACAUCUCCUCUGCUGCAGUGACUGACUCUGCUGUGUACUACUGUGCUCUGAGGCCCACAGUGACAGGAAACACCAAAACUCUGUACAAAAACCUUUGGAGCAAAGACAACACAAUACUCCACAACAUCCACUAG
Molecule: non-coding RNA, 554 nt
Organism: Seriola dumerili (greater amberjack)
Lineage: Eukaryota; Metazoa; Chordata; Actinopteri; Carangiformes; Carangidae
Source: the annotation of a RefSeq genome assembly